AAAGGAAUUGACGGGGGCCCGCACAAGCGGAGGAACAUGUGGUUUAAUUCGAUGAUACGCGAGGAACCUUACCCGGGCUUGAAUUGCAGACGAACUCGGCAGAGAUGCCAAGGUCCUUCGGGACGUCUGUGAAGGUGCUGCAUGGUUGUCGUCAGCUCGUGCCGUGAGGUGUCGGCUUAAGUGCCAUAACGAGCGCAACCCCUGUUCUUAGUUGCCAUCACUUCGGGUGGGCACUCUGAGGAUACUGCCACCGUAAGGUGUGAGGAAGGUGGGGAUGACGUCAAAUCAGCACGGCCCUUACGUCCGGGGCUACACACGUGUUACAAUGGAGCAUACAGAGAGUAGGAUGUACGCAAGUGCAUUCCAAUCAAGAAAGUGCUUCUCAGUUCGGACUGGGGUCUGCAACCCGACCCCACGAAGCUGGAUUCGCUAGUAAUCGCGCAUCAGCCAUGGCGCGGUGAAUACGUUCCCGGGCCUUGUACACACCGCCCGU
Molecule: ribosomal RNA, 493 nt
Filed under: uncultured bacterium
Lineage: Bacteria
Description: bacterial SSU rRNA
Rfam family: Bacterial small subunit ribosomal RNA
Source: RNAcentral